UACGAAGGGGGCUAGCGUUGUUCGGAAUCACUGGGCGUAAAGCGCACGUAGGCGGACUUUUAAGUCAGGGGUGAAAUCCCGGGGCUCAACCCCGGAACUGCCUUUGAUACUGGAAGUCUUGAGUCCGAGAGAGGUGAGUGGAACUCCGAGUGUAGAGGUGAAAUUCGUAGAUAUUCGGAAGAACACCAGUGGCGAAGGCGGCUCACUGGCUCGGUACUGACGCUGAGGUGCGAAAGCGUGGGGGAGCAAAACAGGAAUUCAGAGUACCCCCCCGUAGUCCA
Molecule: ribosomal RNA, 281 nt
Filed under: uncultured bacterium
Lineage: Bacteria
Description: partial 16S ribosomal RNA
Rfam family: Bacterial small subunit ribosomal RNA
Source: RNAcentral